This is a long non-coding RNA of Pseudopipra pipra, 430 nucleotides long. RefSeq lists it as uncharacterized. The transcript is spliced from 2 exons. The record is from RefSeq and is a predicted model, not a curated record. NCBI's taxonomy places the organism in Eukaryota, Metazoa, Chordata, Aves, Passeriformes, Pipridae.
GCAGACGAGCAAGGAGGCAGCAGGAAAACCCCCUGCAGGAGCCCGAGAACUGUCUCUCCCAUGGAGCGCCCACUAGGUGGAGAGAAAGCCCAGGCCUUGCCGGGACUGAGCAUGCAGGGAUAACCCAGCAAGUCCCAACAGCGGGAUGGAUCAAGGAAGACUAGACCACACACUGUGUUCACAAUUGACAGGCAUUUCGGCAAUAUUUUACUUAUCCUUCAAAACGGCAGGGAAGGUAUGCUCAAGAACAGAAUUUUGCUUCCUCUGGAGUAAGUCCAUGCAUGCAGACAACAUUAAAGUAACAGCAAAUGCGUAUUGACACGCUUGAUCUGUAUCCAGAGAGAGAAAAAGACCUACAGUGAAAACUAUAUUAGAAGAAUAAGAGGUUCCAAUGGCAAGUGGACAUUAAUUAAAAAAACAGAGGCCAUGC